AGUGAACGCUGGCGGUAGGCCUAACACAUGCAAGUCGAACGGCAGCACAGUAAGAGCUUGCUCUUACGGGUGGCGAGUGGCGGACGGGUGAGGAAUACAUCGGAAUCUACCUUUUCGUGGGGGGUAACGAAGGGAAACUUACGCCAAUACCGCAUAAGACCUACGGGUGAAAGUAGGGGAUGUUCGGAACUUGCGCGUCUGAAUGUGCGGAUGUCGGAUUAGCUAGUUGGCGGGGUAAAGGCCCACCAAGGGGACUAUCCGUAGCUGGUCUGAGAGGAUAACCAGCCACCCUGGAACUGAGACACGGUCCAGACUCCUACGGGAGGCGGCAGUGGGGAACUUUGGACAAUGGGCGCAAGCCUGAGCCGGCCAUACCGCGUGGGUAAAGAAGGCCUUCGGGUGUUAAACCCCGUUUGUUGGGAAAGAAAAGCAGCGGGUGAAUACCACGCUGUUCUGACGGUACCCAAAGAAUAAGCACCGGCUAACUUCGUG
This 492-nucleotide ribosomal RNA is filed under the name uncultured bacterium. RNAcentral describes it as "partial 16S ribosomal RNA". It matches the Rfam family "Bacterial small subunit ribosomal RNA", at positions 29 to 507 of the family's 1533-position model. The record is from RNAcentral.